GACGAACGCUGGCGGCGUGCUUAACACAUGCAAGUCGAACGGAAAGGCCCUGCUUUUGUGGGGUGCUCGAGUGGCGAACGGGUGAGUAACACGUGAGUAACCUGCCCUUGACUUUGGGAUAACUUCAGGAAACUGGGGCUAAUACCGGAUAGGAGCUCCUGCUGCAUGGUGGGGGUUGGAAAGUUUCGGCAGUUGGGGAUGGACUCGCGGCUUAUCAGCUUGUUGGUGGGGUAGUGGCUUACCAAGGCUUUGACGGGUAGCCGGCCUGAGAGGGUGACCGGCCACAUUGGGACUGAGAUACGGCCCAGACUCCUACGGGAGGCAGCAGUGGGGAAUAUUGCACAAUGGGCGGAAGCCUGAUGCAGCAACGCCGCGUGCGGGAUGACGGCCUUCGGGUUGUAAACCGCUUUCGCCUGUGACGAAGCGUGAGUGACGGAAAUGGGUAAAGAAGCACCGGCUAACUACGUG
RNAcentral lists this ribosomal RNA (468 nucleotides) under uncultured bacterium. RNAcentral's name for it is "partial 16S ribosomal RNA". It matches the Rfam family "Bacterial small subunit ribosomal RNA", at positions 28 to 507 of the family's 1533-position model. The record is from RNAcentral.